This 73-nucleotide transfer RNA is filed under the name Ailuropoda melanoleuca (giant panda). It matches the Rfam family "tRNA". From Rfam's summary of the family: Transfer RNA (tRNA) molecules are approximately 80 nucleotides in length. Their secondary structure includes four short double-helical elements and three loops (D, anti-codon, and T loops). Further hydrogen bonds mediate the characteristic L-shaped molecular structure. tRNAs have two regions of fundamental functional importance: the anti-codon, which is responsible for specific mRNA codon recognition, and the 3' end, to which the tRNAs corresponding amino acid is attached (by aminoacyl-tRNA synthetases). tRNAs cope with the degeneracy of the genetic code in two manners: having more than one tRNA (with a specific anti-codon) for a particular amino acid; and 'wobble' base-pairing, i.e. permitting non-standard base-pairing at the 3rd anti-codon position. RNAcentral also lists the same sequence under 1 other name. The record is from Rfam by way of RNAcentral. Lineage: Eukaryota; Metazoa; Chordata; Mammalia; Carnivora; Ursidae.
ACCUGGCUGGCUCAGUUGGUAGAGUAUGGGACUCUUAAUCUCAGGGUCAAGAGUUCAAGCUUCAUGUUGGGUG